GACGAACGCUGGCGGCGUGCUUAACACAUGCAAGUCGAACGGAAAGGCCCUGCUUUUGUGGGGUGCUCGAGUGGCGAACGGGUGAGUAACACGUGAGUAACCUGCCCUUGACUUUGGGAUAACUUCAGGAAACUGGGGCUAAUACCGGAUAGGAGCUCCUGCUGCAUGGUGGGGGUUGGAAAGUUUCGGCGGUUGGGGAUGGACUCGCGGCUUAUCAGCUUGUUGGUGGGGUAGUGGCUUACCAAGGCUUUGACGGGUAGCCGGCCUGAGAGGGUGACCGGGCACAAUGGGACUGAGAUACGGACCAGACGCCUACGGGAGGCAGCAGUGGGGAAUAUGGCACAAUGGGCGGAAGCCUGAUGCAGCAACGCCGCGUGCGGGAUGACGGCCUUCGGGUUGUAAACCGCUUUCGCCUGUGACGAAGCGUGAGUGACGGUAAUGGGUAAAGAAGCACCGGCUAACUACGUG
RNAcentral lists this ribosomal RNA (468 nucleotides) under uncultured bacterium. RNAcentral's name for it is "partial 16S ribosomal RNA". It matches the Rfam family "Bacterial small subunit ribosomal RNA", at positions 28 to 507 of the family's 1533-position model. The record is from RNAcentral.